This 1562-nucleotide ribosomal RNA is filed under the name Klebsiella pneumoniae. RNAcentral describes it as "bacterial SSU rRNA". It matches the Rfam family "Bacterial small subunit ribosomal RNA". The record is from RNAcentral. Lineage: Bacteria; Pseudomonadati; Pseudomonadota; Gammaproteobacteria; Enterobacterales; Enterobacteriaceae.
ACUUAAAUUGAAGAGUUUGAUCAUGGCUCAGAUUGAACGCUGGCGGCAGGCCUAACACAUGCAAGUCGAGCGGUAGCACAGAGAGCUUGCUCUCGGGUGACGAGCGGCGGACGGGUGAGUAAUGUCUGGGAAACUGCCUGAUGGAGGGGGAUAACUACUGGAAACGGUAGCUAAUACCGCAUAAUGUCGCAAGACCAAAGUGGGGGACCUUCGGGCCUCAUGCCAUCAGAUGUGCCCAGAUGGGAUUAGCUUGUAGGUGGGGUAACGGCUCACCUAGGCGACGAUCCCUAGCUGGUCUGAGAGGAUGACCAGCCACACUGGAACUGAGACACGGUCCAGACUCCUACGGGAGGCAGCAGUGGGGAAUAUUGCACAAUGGGCGCAAGCCUGAUGCAGCCAUGCCGCGUGUGUGAAGAAGGCCUUCGGGUUGUAAAGCACUUUCAGCGGGGAGGAAGGCGUUAAGGUUAAUAACCUUGGCGAUUGACGUUACCCGCAGAAGAAGCACCGGCUAACUCCGUGCCAGCAGCCGCGGUAAUACGGAGGGUGCAAGCGUUAAUCGGAAUUACUGGGCGUAAAGCGCACGCAGGCGGUCUGUCAAGUCGGAUGUGAAAUCCCCGGGCUCAACCUGGGAACUGCAUUCGAAACUGGCAGGCUAGAGUCUUGUAGAGGGGGGUAGAAUUCCAGGUGUAGCGGUGAAAUGCGUAGAGAUCUGGAGGAANUACCGGUGGCGAAGGCGGCCCCCUGGACAAAGACUGACGCUCAGGUGCGAAAGCGUNGGGGAGCAAACAGGAUUAGAUACCCUGGUAGUCCACGCCGUAAACGAUGUCGAUUUNGGAGGUUGUGCCCUUGAGGCGUGGCUUCCGGAGCUAACGCGUUAAAUCGACCGCCUGGGGAGUACGGCCGCNAAGGUUAAAACUCAAAUGAAUUGACGGGGGCCCGNCACAAGCGGUGGAGCAUGUGGUUUAAUUCGAUGCAACGCGAAGAACCUUACCUGGUCUUGACAUCCACAGAACUUAGCAGAGAUGCUUUGGUGCCUUCGGGAACUGUGAGACAGGUGCUGCAUGGCUGUCGUCAGCUCGUGUUGUGAAAUGUUGGGUUAAGUCCCGCAACGAGCGCAACCCUUAUCCUUUGUUGCCAGCGGUCCGGCCGGGAACUCAAAGGAGACUGCCAGUGNAUAAACUGGAGGAAGGUGGGGAUGACGUCAAGUCAUCAUGGCCCUUACGACCAGGGCUACACACGUGCUACAAUGGCAUAUACAAAGAGAAGCGACCUCGCGAGAGCAAGCGGACCUCAUAAAGUAUGUCGUAGUCCGGAUUGGAGUCUGCAACUCGACUCCAUGAAGUCGGAAUCGCUAGUAAUCGUAGAUCAGAAUGCUACGGUGAAUACGUUCCCGGGCCUUGUACNACACCGCCCGUCACACCAUGGGAGUGGNGUUGCAAAAGAAGUAGGUAGCUUAACCUUCGGGAGGGCGCUUACCACUUUGUGAUUCAUGACUGGGGUGAAGUCGUAACAAGGUAACCGUAGGGGAACCUGCGGUUGGAUCACCUCCUUACCUUAAAGAA